GGCCACACCCGCAGCAUAUGAAAGUUCCCAGGCUAGGGAUCAAAUUGGAGCUGUAGCCGCCAGCCUACACCACAGCCACAACUCGGAAUCCCAGCCACAUCUGCAACCUAUACCACAGCUCACAGCAACCCCGGAUCCUUAACCCACUGAGCAAGGCCAGGGAUUGAACCCGCAACCUCAUGGUUCCUAGUCGGACUUGUUAACCACUGAGCCACGACAGGAACUCCACAUUUUCUGUUCUAAAUAGAAUAGUCUGUGUGAAAGAUCUCAGAGUUGGAAAAUGAUGCAGAUUAGUGGAGAAAUGCAGGAUUUAGAUUCCAAGGAACACCCGGCCUGCAGCAGCUUGCAGGAGAGCCACCUGUGGGGGACGUGGAGGGGGUGGGCAGUAGAAGUGUUUGGAAAAGAGGACAAUGGAUGGGCUCCUGCAAAGCGUGGAUAGACUCAGGUCUGUAGGGAUUUAUCCUGGGUGUACAGCCAUACUCCAGAUCUGAGGUUCCUCCUUGGCAGCAAGAGGCCAUACAUGCAAAGGACUGAGGCCUGGCUGCCUUCUUGGGUAAAAUACCCUCAGCUAUUUUUUCCCUAGUCUCCACUCUAGCCUUACCUGCCUCCACUCUCCGUACCUACCCUGGCCUCUGUACUAUUCCUGUAUGAACAGGCCUUUUCUUUUUCUUUUUAAGGCCACACCAGUGGCAUAUGAAAGUUUCCAGCUAGGGGUCAAAUUGGAGCUGCAGCUGCCAGCCUUUGCCACAGCCACAGUAAUGCCAGAUCCAAGCUGCAUCUGUGACCUACGCCACAACUUGCAGCAACGCUGGAUCCUUAACCCACUGAGCAAGGCUGGGGAUUGAACCCACAUCCUCAUGGACACUGUGUCAGGUUCUUAACAUGCUAAGCCACAGCGGGAACUCUGAACAGGUCUUUUCUUAACCCCAUACCUUUGCCAGCACUCUUCCAGCUGCCUGGCAUGCUCUUCACCCGGUAGACUCCCAUUCAUGCUGUAACAUCCAGCCUCGAAGUUAUAUCUGAGGAGUUCCUGUUGUGGCUCAGUGGUAACAAAUCUGACUAGAAUCCAUGAGGAUGCAUGUUUCAUCCCUGGCCCUCCUCAGUGGGUUAAGGAUCUGGCAUUGCUGUGAGCUGUGGUGUACGGCACAGACGGGGCUCAAAUCCUGUGUUGCUGUGGCUGCAGUGUAGGCUGUCGGCUGCAGCUCCAAUUCAACUCCUAGCUUGGGAACUUCCAUAGGCUGUGAUGUGGCCCUAAAAAUACAGAAAAACCCAGAAAAGCAAAAAACAAAAAGAAAAAAAAAAGAAAAGAAAAAGUUACCUCUAAGAUGCCUUCUUAUUCCUCUGGACUAUGUAGAGUCUGCAUCCCCAUCCCCUUCUCUGUGUUUAGACUGGCAGUGUUGUCUAGCUUCUUGGUAAAUCCGUGCUUUGCUUAGUAAUCUUGGACACAGUGGGGUAAAAAUCUUAGAAUACAGUCAUUUUGUGAUAGAAAAUAAAGAUGGCCUAAUUCUCUGAUGAAAGCAGGAAAUUCAGUUUCUGUAAGAGCCCUCCCUGGCAACUCAUCCCUCAGCUGAGGACAGCUAGAAGGUAUAGAAUAAUGAUUCCUUUGGUCCAUGCACAGGUCUCUCCUGGGGGCUGGGCUGGGGCUGGAGGAUGGCAGGAAGUGCCCUGUGGCUGGGCUUGACCUCAUGAAAGGUCUCAUAUUUCAUCUUUUGAUGUUAUCUCCAAAGGAGGUUAUAUGGGUUAUAUGUCCCAUUGCAGGGGUACCCUGACCUGAGGAAAGCAGAAAAUAUUCAGCUGACAAAGUAAUAUUAGCAUUUCAUUACCAAAGCACACCACUUGUGGUGUACUAUAAAUGAAUAUGCUUUUAAAAUAAAUGCUGUGAUUAUCUUGUGAUUAGCAAUUAUACUGAAUUGCCUUUUUCUUUGAUAUUAAAAGUGAUGACUUAAUAAAUGUAAAGAUUUAAAAUAUGUCACCAUUUGUGUAAUUAUUUCUUCAUAUCUUCAUUUAUUGAUAUACAAAGCACCUUAAAAAUCAGGGGUGGCUCAGCCCUCUCUUAGCCUUUGGGAAGACCCACUUGCCUCAGUUUAGAGAAACAAUAGGCUGGAGUUUUCUUUUGGAGUAGCAAGUUAAGGCCUUGUCACUGCAGCAGCUUGGGUCACUGCUUUGGGUUGCUACUAUGACUUGGCAGCUCUGGCCUGGGAACUUACACAUGCCCUGGGCGGGGCUGAAAGGAAGGAAGAAAGAAGGAAAACAAUAGCUGUGUGACCUUGGGCAAGAUGCAUAAACUAUCUUCGCCUUAGUUUCCUUAUCUGCCCCACUUGCAAAAUGAUGAAAAUAACUCUGCCUUGGAGAUAAAUGAAAUGAGAUAAUGAGGAAAUAAAUGGAAUGCAUAAAGUAUCCAGCAAAGUUUCAGAUAUACAAAUUUGCCAAUAGACAAUAUGUGCCCAGUUAUUGAUAGCAGUGAUUAUUGUUAUUUUAUCAAACUGUCAGGUUUGUUUUUUGUUUUUUGUUUUUGGUCUUUUUAGGACCGCACCCACAGCAUAUGGAAGAUCCCAGGCUAGCGGUCAAAUCAGAGCUGUAGAUGUCGGGCUGCACCACAGCCACAGCAACAUGGGAUUCUGAGCCUCGUCUGCUACCUACACCAGAGUUCAGGGCAACACCGGAUCCUUGACCCACUGAGGGAGGCCAGAGUCGAAUCUGUGUCUUCGUGGAAACUAGUCGGGUUUGUUACCACUGAAUCUCCAUGGGAACUCCCAAAGUGUCCGUUUAUUUCCAGCUGUUCUGAUGCCGAAUAUUUCUGUAUCUAUUAUCUAUUAGACAAAUCAUUUUAAAAUUUAGUGGCUUAAAGUAACAACCAUUUAUUAACCUCAAAUUCUGUGGAUUUCUUGUUUAGUUUGGGCUCAGCCAGCAGGUUUUCUGGACUCAGCUGGCAUUCCUUCUGCUUCUGUGGUCAGCUGUGGCUGGCAGCCUUGAUUUUGGCUAAACUCUUCAUGUGUUUGGGGGCCUCUGCUGACUCAUUAACUCAUCUCCAGCAGCCUCGCCUGGACUUGUUCGUAUGCGGGGACAAGAGUCCCAAGGGUUCAAGCGUCAGGGUGCAAAUCCUCUUGAGGCUAAGGCUUGGAAUUAGUGCAAUGUCAACCUCUGCCACAGUCUAUUGGGCAAAGCUAGUCACAGUCUCAUGGGGUGGGGAAACAGACUCUGUGGAUGGGAAGAGCUACAGAGUCACAUCUGUAAAGCAUCAUAGAUAUAGGAAGGGAAGUAAGGGGGUCACUUUUGCAAACAAUUUACCGUAGUUCUCCCUUUUUAAACAAAAACUAGAACCUUGAGUUUAUUCCCCAUGUGUCCCAGUGAGCCAGUGGGGAUGAAUUCUGUUCUUUUCCACUGUCUGAUCCAAGCCUAUUUUUAGAUCUAGCCUAAUAAAAUGAAUUUCACACCUGGGUUACUCACCCACCAACAAACACUUUGUUCUUAUCGAUGCCUGGUACAAACACCUAGGCAGCCUGGAUUUGUAGUUCUAUUACCUCCAAGCACAAUAAUUGUUAAUUACUUGCUUUAUUUGGUUCUGUUGCGCUUGCCAAUAGUCAAUUACCUAUGUUAGGUUUUCUUGUGAUCAGUGGGGCUUAUCCAAUAUUGCAGCCCAGCUCUGUUUUUGUCUCAGAGAUGUCUUUUCCAAGAGAGUUAAAGAAAACUCUUGUUCACUAGUUUAUUGAAUAUUAGCCUUUAUCUACUUAUUUCAAAGGCUCCUUAUUCACUGCUGCAAACACCAAAGUGCUACGGCUGAGCUCUUAGAAUUGAACAAAAGAUAAGCCUGCUCUUUGCCUGAUCUGGCUAAAUACCAGUACACGGAAUAGAGGAAAGAGGGAAUCGUGGGAUCCUGGGGCAUUUGUUUAGCUCAUGCUUGGCUCUCUAAAACUGCCUUAUCCCCUCUACUGCACCCUGUGCAUUGCAGCUAAGAGACCUAAUGCAGAGAUCCAAUUGCAUCGCUGUGCUGGAGUGCACCCCAUUCCUCAGUGCUCCCUGUGCUUAUUCCCUUCCUCAUAUGACUUUGCAGGUGCAUGCCUUUGAAUCCAGACUAGGCCACAUGACGUCCUCUGAUCAACAGAAGGAGGUAGAAAUGAUAAUGUGCUAGUUCUGAGCCCAGGCUUGAGGCCUCGCAUGUCUCCUUUGCACUCUUGUGCCUCUGCCAUUACCAUGAGCAAGACAUGCCCACACUGGCCUGGUGGUCCCAGGAGGAAGAUAAGAGACUCACGAAGAAGCAAACCACUUCAUCAAAGCCCAGCGAGAACCAGCCACCCCCAGCUGACCCCAGAUGGGUAAGUCAUGAGCACUGAUUACUGUUUUGAGCUGCUGAGAUUUGGGAUGGUUUAUUAUGGGCCAAAAGCUGAUGCAUCAUUCUUGUGAUUAAACCCCAGCACGGUCUAAAGUCUAGGUGACACCUUGAAACAUCUGGGCCCUGCUGCUUUUCCUGCCUCAAGACCUCCCUUUUCACUGCACUUUUUCAAAGAUACCAAAUAGUUUUCAGUUCUUAAAAUUUGCAUCGAGCUCAUUUACAUUUCUAUGCUUUGCACCUGGUAUGCCUUCUUCCUGGAAUGCCAUUCUCUCUUUUGUUUGUCUGUGGGAAAACUCCUAUUCAGCUGUCAAAACCCAGCUCAGGCACUGUCUUCUCCAACAAAUCUCCCUAUAUUCUCCUCUGUAGUAAAUCGUCUUCACUUCUGUGAGAGGUCUGGACUCAUAUAUAUAUCUGUUGUUACCACGUAACAUAGUAUUGUAAUUUGGUCUCUUUAUUUUGCUUUUGCCCAUUUUUUGUCAUCUGUUAGACUGAUUCACUUGAGCACUAGGGCAGCCUUAAUUCAUCAGUGUAUCUCAGUGCCUAGAGCAGUGUCUAGUUCCAACAAUGCCUGAUGGCUAAAGGAGGUUU
Molecule: long non-coding RNA, 4918 nt
Filed under: Sus scrofa (pig)
Lineage: Eukaryota; Metazoa; Chordata; Mammalia; Artiodactyla; Suidae
Description: lncRNA (ENSSSCG00000060323.1)
Source: RNAcentral